UGGCACCCCCUUUCGAGAGCAAAAGCUGCCUCAGGUCAGGCGCUGGCUGUUCCUUCUUUCUGUGCCUGGUCCAUCAAAGCUGAUUGAUCGAUCGAUCGAUCGAUUGAUUGGUUAAUUGGACAAAUGGAUCCUGUGGCCUCUGGGCCUAGUAAUAGCCAACGGGGCUUUAAGGUUUGCAAAGUACCUUAGGUAUAAUAAUAAUGGGCAAGGAGGGGCUCUGUGGACAAGAGAGCCAGGCCUGGAGACCGGAGAUCCCGGGUUCCGAUUUGGCCUCAGACGCAUCGUAGCUGUGGGACCUUGUCAAGUCACUUAACCCCCAUUGGCCCAUCUUUACCGCCCAUCUUCAUUGGAACUUGUAUGCAGCCUUAAUUCUAAGAUGGAAGAACCUCAAGAGAGAAGGAUGAUGGAGUGGAUAGAAUGGUGAACUUGGAACCAAGAAGACGUGGGUUCAAAUGCCAUCUUAGAUGCUAGUUGUGAAUGACCGUGGCAUAUCAUUACAUCAAAGAUUAAACUCUUCCAGUGGAAAGUUGGGUAGAAGUUCCUUAAGUGCACAGGUAAAUAGAUUUUGGAAAUAUACAGAAAUUUCUUUGGUUCUUAUAUUAUUGUCUGAAAAAUGCUGCUGGAACUGGAGUUUGAACUUGGAAAACAUAGCUGCAAAUCUGGGUGGGAAUAGAGAUUUGCUUCUUGUUUUAACUUUCAAUAGCAUAGAAAGAGUAUAUAAAGUAGGUGGCUUUUACUUGUGAUUCAGACCAUGUUCAAUGCCAAAUUCACUUUAUUGCAAUAUAAGUGCUCUUUUAUCUUUUAAUUUUAGGUUGAAUUCAUUAAGAAAUGUUGCCAAGUCAUACUGCUUGUCUUCUCAAUGGGUGAGGGAGGACCUGAAGAGAGAGACUUUGAAACUGAAUUUGUAAAAAUAAUAGUAAUAAUAAAAUAAAGAAAAAAGAAAUAUUCUCA
Molecule: long non-coding RNA, 951 nt
Filed under: Monodelphis domestica (gray short-tailed opossum)
Lineage: Eukaryota; Metazoa; Chordata; Mammalia; Didelphimorphia; Didelphidae
Description: lncRNA (ENSMODG00000050428.1)
Source: RNAcentral